This 493-nucleotide ribosomal RNA is filed under the name uncultured bacterium. RNAcentral's name for it is "partial 16S ribosomal RNA". It matches the Rfam family "Bacterial small subunit ribosomal RNA", at positions 28 to 503 of the family's 1533-position model. The record is from RNAcentral.
GAUGAACGCUGGCGGCGUGCCUAAUACAUGCAAGUCGAGCGAACAGACGAGGAGCUUGCUCCUCUGACGUUAGCGGCGGACGGGUGAGUAACACGUGGAUAACCUACCUAUAAGACUGGGAUAACUUCGGGAAACCGGAGCUAAUACCGGAUAAUAUAUUGAACCGCAUGGUUCAAUAGUGAAAGACGGUUUUGCUGUCACUUAUAGAUGGAUCCGCGCCGCAUUAGCUAGUUGGUAAGGUAACAGCUUACCAAGGCAACGAUGCGUAGCCGACCUGAGAGGGUGAUCGGCCACACUGGAACAGAGACACGGUCCAGCCUCCUACGGGAGGCAGCAGUAGGGAAUCUCCAGAAGUGGGCGAAAGCCUGACGGAGCAACGCCGAGUGAGUGAUGAAGGUCUUCGGAUCGUAAAACUUUGUUAUUAGGGAAGAACACAUGUGUAAGUAACUAUGCACGUAUUGACGGUACCUAAUAAGAAAGCCCCGGCUAAGUA